CAUCCUCCAAGGCUAAAUACUCCUGACUGACCGAUAGUGAACCAGUACCGUGAGGGAAAGGCGAAAAGAACCCCGGCGAGGGGAGUGAAAAAGAACCUGAAACCGUGUACGUACAAGCAGUGGGAGCACAGGUUUACCUGUGUGACUGCGUACCUUUUGUAUAAUGGGUCAGCGACUUAUAUUCUGUAGCAAGGUUAACCGUAUAGGGGAGCCGUAGGGAAACCGAGUCUUAACCGGGCGUUAAGUUGCAGGGUAUAGACCCGAAACCCGGUGAUCUAGCCAUGGGCAGGUUGAAGGUUGGGUAACACUAACUGGAGGACCGAACCGACUAAUGUUGAAAAAUUAGCGGAUGACCUGUGGCUGGGGGUGAAAGGCCAAUCAAACCGGGAGAUAGCUGGUUCUCCCCGAAAGCUAUUUAGGUAGCGCCUCGUGAAUUCAUCUCCGGGGGUAGAGCACUGUUUCGGCUAGGGGGCCAUCCCGGCUUACCAACCCGAUGCAAACUGCGAAUACCGGAGAAUGUUAUCACGGGAGACACACGGCGGGUGCUAACGUCCGUCGUGAAGAGGGAAACAACCCAGACCGCCAGCUAAGGUCCCAAAGUCAUGGUUAAGUGGGAAACGAUGUGGGAAGGCCCAGACAGCCAGGAUGUUGGCUUAGAAGCAGCCAUCAUUUAAAGAAAGCGUAAUAGCUCACUGGUCGAGUCGGCCUGCGCGGAAGAUGUAACGGGGCUAAACCAUGCACCGAAGCUGCGGCAGCGACACUGUGUGUUGUUGGGUAGGGGAGCGUUCUGUAAGCCUGUGAAGGUGGCCUGUGAGGGUUGCUGGAGGUAUCAGAAGUGCGAAUGCUGACAUAAGUAACGAUAAAGCGGGUGAAAAGCCCGCUCGCCGGAAGACCAAGGGUUCCUGUCCAACGUUAAUCGGGGCAGG
RNAcentral lists this ribosomal RNA (926 nucleotides) under Salmonella enterica subsp. enterica serovar Lubbock. RNAcentral's name for it is "partial 23S ribosomal RNA". It matches the Rfam family "Bacterial large subunit ribosomal RNA", at positions 454 to 1378 of the family's 2925-position model. The record is from RNAcentral. Lineage: Bacteria; Pseudomonadati; Pseudomonadota; Gammaproteobacteria; Enterobacterales; Enterobacteriaceae.